Molecule: unclassified non-coding RNA, 262 nt
Filed under: Hevea brasiliensis (rubber tree)
Lineage: Eukaryota; Viridiplantae; Streptophyta; Magnoliopsida; Malpighiales; Euphorbiaceae
Source: RNAcentral
GAAGUCAAAUGCAGUUGAGAGCUGUCCUGUGCCAUCAAUCCAAUCGAUAAUCCGUUGCCGGUGGCUAUCUUGGUCGUAUUCCAAAUAUGAGCCAUUGUAGUUGCAAGAAUCCCAAUACUCCCCGACAGAAAAUAUUGGUUUUGCUUCUUCAAUGUAUUCUUUCACGUAUUUGGGUGAGUAACCUCUUGCAAAGUCAAAACGGAAAUCUUGAAAGCCAACACUAUUACGAAGCCACUGAAGCCAUGCUGUAAUAUCUGUUCGA